AGUAACACGUGGGUAACCUGCCCCGGAGCGGGGGAUAACAUUUGGAAACAGAUGCUAAUACCGCAUAACAACGAGAACCACAUGGUUUUCGUUUGAAAGAUGGCUUAUGCUAUCACUCUGGGAUGGACCCGCGGUGCAUUAGCUAGUUGGUAAGGUAACGGCUUACCAAGGCGAUGAUGCAUAGCCGAGUUGAGAGACUGAUCGGCCACAAUGGAACUGAGACACGGUCCAUACUCCUACGGGAGGCAGCAGUU
This 254-nucleotide ribosomal RNA is filed under the name uncultured Lactobacillus sp. Its description in RNAcentral is "partial 16S ribosomal RNA". It matches the Rfam family "Bacterial small subunit ribosomal RNA", at positions 109 to 355 of the family's 1533-position model. The record is from RNAcentral. Lineage: Bacteria; Bacillati; Bacillota; Bacilli; Lactobacillales; Lactobacillaceae.